Molecule: ribosomal RNA, 424 nt
Filed under: bacterium M9A-309-16S
Lineage: Bacteria
Description: bacterial SSU rRNA
Rfam family: Bacterial small subunit ribosomal RNA
Source: RNAcentral
GAUGAACCACUUCGGUGGGGAUUAGUGGCGAACGGGUGAGUAACACGUGGGCAAUCUGCCCUGCACUCUGGGACAAGCCCUGGAAACGGGGUCUAAUACCGGAUACUGAUCCGUCUGGGCAUCCAGGCGGUUCGAAAGCUCCGGCGGUGCAGGAUGAGCCCGCGGCCUAUCAGCUUGUUGGUGAGGUAGUGGCUCACCAAGGCGACGACGGGUAGCCGGCCUGAGAGGGCGACCGGCCACACUGGGACUGAGACACGGCCCAGACUCCUACGGGAGGCAGCAGUGGGGAAUAUUGCACAAUGGGCGAAAGCCUGAUGCAGCGACGCCGCGUGAGGGAUGACGGCCUUCGGGUUGUAAACCUCUUUCAGCAGGGAAGAAGCGAAAGUGACGGUACCUGCAGAAGAAGCGCCGGCUAACUACGUGC